Long non-coding RNA from Mugil cephalus (flathead mullet), 5521 nucleotides. RefSeq lists it as uncharacterized. NCBI's taxonomy places the organism in Eukaryota, Metazoa, Chordata, Actinopteri, Mugiliformes, Mugilidae. The record is from RefSeq and is a predicted model, not a curated record. The transcript is spliced from 6 exons.
CUAGAAAAGGAGCCUUUGCAGUCCCAUUGAGUAAAGAAACCUGUUGUCAAAAAACACAGAAGAAAAGACCCUUGAAGACUGGGGAAAGGUUCAACAUUCAAACACACACGCAGUCACCACAAACGGCCCCCAGCUGCGAGGGAACUCCGAGCCGCCGAGCUGGUUCGGUAAGAUUAUUCAUCAACAGUUCCUCCAUCUUUCCUGAUCAGCGCAGCGGAGCUUUGGCAUGUAGUUGUGUUUCCAACACAGACCUCAAUGAGUCAGGAAUCUGGACAAUCUAGAAAGGCUGGCGCGAGAAACACACUCUUUCUCUUCUCACCCCAAGACGAUGAUAAUCUUAUCACCACCAGGGAGUCAAGUGAGCAUGGGGACAAUAAAGAUAAGGAAUACCUGAGCUGUGUGCCCUGAGGGCGUCCUAUAGUCAAAUAUAAGCUUGGAAAAUUAUGUAAAACAGUAUUUAGCGAGCUAAUAAAUAUGGCAUGGGAGUUUCGUUACGUUUUCGAACUUAUGUUUAGUCUAUAUCUAUUUUACAAAACAUCUAUGCAUGGAAUUAAUUAAUUUUUAUUGCGAAAAAAAACAUCGCCCUAUUUGUCCACUAGGGAGCACGCAGCAUCAGACGUCAACAAACGUGGUGAACAGUUGAGCAUGAGAAAUUAGUUCCUUCGUCACCAGUCUUGCUCGUGCACUGUGCUCAACAAACUCGUUUGAGAUUAAAUGAUCCACAUAUCGUUGGCAAACAACAUUACAACUUGUGUUGAUUUUACUGACUGUAUAUCAUUUUAAAUAUUACUUGUAUUUGAACAGUUUUAUGGCCAGAAAUGUGUCAAUGCAAAAAGAGUUUUAAACAAAAAACAGCUUAGGUUUUGGACUGACUGUUGGGGAAAAGAUCUGACCAUUAAAUACGUUGUGAUAAGGGCUUCAUGAUAAAUUACAGAUUGCGAUUGCUUAAAAAGUGAAAAUGGAUGCAUAGUGACAGUGAUCAAUAAUCUCAGUAUUUCCUGCAUGAACUAGUUAGUCAUGGUAAAUAGAUAGAUAGAUAGAUAGAUAGAUAGAUAGAUAGAUAGAUAGAUAUCAGAUGAAAUGUGUUUAACUUCAAAGUAAGGAUUGAAGAUGUCUAACAUGACUCAUUAUAAGUGAUUUAUUGCUAAUUAAUAGUAUAAUUAUUGAAUAAUUUAUAAUAAUCCCAUAAAUAAUUAGAUGAGAAUAACAGACUGGUUCAUGUCACAUGGUAGAGAUCAGCUGUGUUCCCUCAUUUGCAUAUAGAAUGUUGAGAUGUUCCGUGAAGACUUUAUGACGUCAUUAGAAUCUUUGGUCACAGACACACAGCUACCCCCAGAGAGUCACAGACCAGCCGUAACAUCACUUUGUUUACAGCUUUCAGGUGUUCAGAAGGACCUCGGAUCCAGCCACGAACACUAACCUCAGAGUUUAGCUUCUGUUUUUCAGGUUUUCAAGGAUAUAAUCACUUCUGCUUUUGUUUUCAGGUGUUCCAGGUAAUUAACCUCUUUUCUUUUUCAGGUUUUCCAGGUAAUUAACCUCUUUGCUUUUUAGGUUUUACACUUAUUCUUUGUGACUAAUUCACCCGUGCACCAUCAAAUUAAGAGUCAUGUCACGAAGAAGUCUCCGCCUGCAAGAAGCAGGGUAUUACACUGAAGACGGAACUCCAACCGUCUCCUACAAGGAGAAAUUAAACCGGGUAUUUAACAGGAGGAGGACGUACCAUGAUCCCUACAAUGAAAACAUUGUAAAGGACAAUCAUUGUAGAGGACAUGUGGACACUAACAGUCACACAGCUGAGUGUUUGGAUGUUGGGGCUCAGGUCUCCCGGCCGCGUGUCCCUCAUACCUGGAGUCAUCAACCAGCAACAAAUGGGACACAGGAGGUCAGGAGACCCAGAGGUAAGGGCUCUUCAUAAGAGAAAGAAGAGAUUCACAUGUAUUUGUAUUUCCUAACAUGUUCUAAACAUCCUGCUUGUGUCUCUCUGUAGUUCCAUUAAUGUCCAUUUUUACCUCAAAGAGAAUCUGUUUCGUCCUCACGUUUCUACGGGUUCUUGGUAGGUGACUUUACUCGUCCUGCUACUAACAAUCAUCUCUAAUGCAUGAGUACAAUUGAGGACAGAUGGUUUUAUAUUAUUCCAUUAGUCCAGGUCUUUGAAAUGUUCAUUGUUAGUAAAAGUCUCAUUUGUCUCUUCCUCAGGAUUAAUAUUCACAUGUAUAAAAUUAAGAGAGGUCCACCAGGAGUUGCUGUCCCUCAGACAGCAGAUGGACAUGUUGGUUCCUCUGGCAGACACGAUGCCAAACUUUGCAUUAGAAUCUCAAGGUGCCAGAGUGAUUCAACAUUUAUCCUCACAGACAUAUUGGCCUGGAGAAGACCCAGGCUUAGUAUGUAGAUGGAUGUUCAAAUGGUGGUGCUCACUGAAAGCCCAGAGAAGAGUGAUUCAGGUAGAGAUUACACAGCCACUAUUACUAUUACAGUGGACUGUAGUUCAACUGGAACAACCAAAGGACCAAGAACUGUGGAGACUAAAGUAUGUAAUCUUCUCCCCUCAGGGACAUUCAGCUUUACGUCCGGGUCAAUGUUGGUGAUUUGCAGGUGAACAGGGACAUUUAUUUGUCUCCCUGUCUCAUCCGGUCUCUGUCUCUCACGUGACCCUGGGCCACAUUCUCAAAAGCCAGUCCCCUGAUGGAAACAUUAAAAGUGCACCAAGGGAGUUUUCUAUAUAUGGAGCGAGGACCAAAGAUGAGGCAGGCACCUAUCUGGGAACAGUGGUCUAUGAUCUGGACGGAGCUAUGUUUCAGACCUUUAGUCUUUCUAAUCCAGACAACGGUGUUUUCAGAUAUAUGAAGCUACAGACUGAGACCAACUGGGGAAACAUAGACUACACCUGCCUCUACAGCUUCAGGGUUCAUGGAAAACUCCCUCCCUAACUGCACCUCCACUCAAAGGACAGCGUCUCCAUUGUUAAACCUGGGCCUUUCCCUCCAUGUAUUUGAGUGUAAAUGAUUGAUAGGGAUGAAACAUGGACAGUUGUCUAUUCCCGGUGCAUCUUAUUUCUGUCUGUCUACAGGGCCGGCCUCAAGCAGAUGGCUCCCCCCAUAUGAGCCGGGUUCUGCUCAAGGUUUCUUCCUGUUUAAAGGGAGUUUUUCCUUGCCACAGUCGCCUUAGUGCUUGCUCUGGGGGGUUCAGGCUCUUUAAAGUGUUUUCAGACAGUUAAGAUGCAUUUUAGGCAAUAUAGACUGAACUGAAUGGAACUUAAUUUUACAAAAUUUAAUUUAACUUAUCUCAACUAAAAUGAGGUAACCUAGAAAAAAAUAGCUGAUCUUAACAUAAUUAAAUGAUUUUAAAUGAAAUGGAUUGAACUUAAAUGUGCUUAACUGAAUCACAUUAGAAACAAGGCCCAGGAUGUAUCCUUUAUCUAAAAUAACAUUAAUUUUACUAAUUUACUUGACUCAAUAAAAAUGUAUAUAAAACUAGAACUGCUUCCUCUCCUUUCUUUACUAAUGGGUGUAUCCAUACAUCUUGCAAAACCACAUACCAGUCUUGUGCCAAUCCAGUGAGUUUCUCUACAGUGAAAUGAUUUGAAAAUAUUAUCGGUUCAUGUUCAUCAUCACAUGUUCAGGACACAACGUUUAGUUUCACAUCACAUAUCCAUAUGUCCUUGGUAAACAACGUUUACUGACUAUAAAGCACUAGAAUUUGGACAGCUUUAUGGCCAGAAAUACGUCAAAAUUAGGGUUUGUUAUGCUUUCAAAUCUCAAAUGAAAUGUCAAUGUACGUGGCAGAAAUUCACAUCCAGUAACUAUAAUACUAUCCUACUAAGUCAAGGCUCAAAUAUUUGGUCAACACUGAGCUAAAAGCAUGAUCUGAUGUAGUUAGCUCUGAUUCAACCUAUAAAAAACACAGUGUUAUAGAUAUGCAUGCCAAUAAAUAAACUGGGGUUUAGCAAUAAUUUCAGUUAAUUUUCAGUCUUUUAGAUUACCAGUAAUUAACAUGUUUUAUUUUAACAGAUACGCUAGCCCUGCUAAAUGCUAACAACCUGUCUACCUUGGAUCUACAAUCAUGGUAGCUUAAGAGGAUUAGGUAUUUGGCCAAUCAAACAAUCACUGUAGCGUCUAGGUCUGCGGACUGUUAAAUGCCAGUCUACCACAGGACACAAAAGCCUUUUUACUGUAACGGACAUGAGAUAUGAAUGCCCGUGAGACUAAACUCAGGGAUCUAAAACCCCCAGGGAAAUGGUGACACACCGCCUCCCUCCAGUCACAAUGACAAACUUCCAAGAACCUCAUACAUUUAGUAGUUGGACAAAAGAUUAAAGAGGAAAGGACAUUUGUCCAAGCUGGGGCUGGUUUCUUCAAAAAGGUUGUGAAGUUGUGAGAAUGGGGGAGGGGGGUAUAUUAUGAGGGUACAUCCCUAACUGUAGUUUAUUUCACGGAGGAGCCCUGAGGCAGCAGUUAUAGAGGACGGUACAGACAGUACAUUACAGUACAGUACAGUACAGGCAGAGCAGCUUGGGAGGUGAUGAUGGAGAAAUAAGUGUGCCUGGGCUUGUCUGCUGCCUGGUCAGACACUACUUCAUUCUUAGUCAGCUGACACAGUGGAGCCACUAAAUGGGAUUGUCUUUAUCCCUCCCUCUGUAACUCUCUCCUGGCAAAACCUGGCUGGGGACAUUGUUCAAAUGUCUUUUUUAUAUAUAUAUAUAUUGGGAGAAACUCAACAGUUUUGCCCUUUUCUACCUGUUAAAAGUCAGUAUUGGUUAAAACAGCAAAGCCGCUCCCAUAGAAUGCAAACACAACACGUCUAACAGCUCAGACACGCUUUAGGGAAAUAGACAUCUGGAUUAAUAAUGUGUCUUUCCGUGAGUUGGCUGAAGGAAUUGAGGUGUGUUUCUUGGCUGUGCGCUGCCAUAAGGGUGUGGCUGCAGUGACUAUUCACCGAGUUGUUGAUAAGGCAUGAUUCGUCAGACUGCAUUAUGAGUUGUAGGUGUGGAGCCAGGGACGACUCGGCUGGGUCACAUGUCCUAUCAGGAAACAAUAAUGGCCUUUUCUGAGUACAUCGCUGCUAUCCAGCACAGCUACGCUCCUCUCUGGCUCAUCGCUGAGCCAAUAUAAUGCAGCAACCAGAAAGUAAGUGGCCUGUCCUGUGAUGUAUUGACCUACUGAAAGGACCACCAUGAAACAUCCCUCGGACGUUAAAUAGUCUCCGGGUGAUGAAUCCUAUUGUCUCUUUACUUUUGCCCUAAGCUGUUCAGGGUGACAUUUGUGACCCUCCAGGACACUGGUCACGUGUUAUAGGUAAAAAUGAACGCUUGGGUUUAACCACAGCUACACAGAAGAUGGAAUAAAAAAAAAUCGUAUUAUUGAACUGGCACGGAUCGCUUAAAAACCAUGUUCACCGGUUAGACACGCUUCAUAUCAACAAAACCACGAGGUUAAUGUAUUUUUCAAAUGAAAGGAAAACAAACCAUGAGCCCAUUUAAUAAACAUGACGUUUUGAUUUAGUGCAUGCUGAGUCGAGUCCUGGU